Molecule: ribosomal RNA, 1540 nt
Filed under: Staphylococcus aureus M1136
Lineage: Bacteria; Bacillati; Bacillota; Bacilli; Caryophanales; Staphylococcaceae
Description: 16S ribosomal RNA
Rfam family: Bacterial small subunit ribosomal RNA
Source: RNAcentral
AGAGUUUGAUCCUGGCUCAGGAUGAACGCUGGCGGCGUGCCUAAUACAUGCAAGUCGAGCGAACGGACGAGAAGCUUGCUUCUCUGAUGUUAGCGGCGGACGGGUGAGUAACACGUGGAUAACCUACCUAUAAGACUGGGAUAACUUCGGGAAACCGGAGCUAAUACCGGAUAAUAUUUUGAACCGCAUGGUUCAAAAGUGAAAGACGGUCUUGCUGUCACUUAUAGAUGGAUCCGCGCUGCAUUAGCUAGUUGGUAAGGUAACGGCUUACCAAGGCAACGAUGCAUAGCCGACCUGAGAGGGUGAUCGGCCACACUGGAACUGAGACACGGUCCAGACUCCUACGGGAGGCAGCAGUAGGGAAUCUUCCGCAAUGGGCGAAAGCCUGACGGAGCAACGCCGCGUGAGUGAUGAAGGUCUUCGGAUCGUAAAACUCUGUUAUUAGGGAAGAACAUAUGUGUAAGUAACUGUGCACAUCUUGACGGUACCUAAUCAGAAAGCCACGGCUAACUACGUGCCAGCAGCCGCGGUAAUACGUAGGUGGCAAGCGUUAUCCGGAAUUAUUGGGCGUAAAGCGCGCGUAGGCGGUUUUUUAAGUCUGAUGUGAAAGCCCACGGCUCAACCGUGGAGGGUCAUUGGAAACUGGAAAACUUGAGUGCAGAAGAGGAAAGUGGAAUUCCAUGUGUAGCGGUGAAAUGCGCAGAGAUAUGGAGGAACACCAGUGGCGAAGGCGACUUUCUGGUCUGUAACUGACGCUGAUGUGCGAAAGCGUGGGGAUCAAACAGGAUUAGAUACCCUGGUAGUCCACGCCGUAAACGAUGAGUGCUAAGUGUUAGGGGGUUUCCGCCCCUUAGUGCUGCAGCUAACGCAUUAAGCACUCCGCCUGGGGAGUACGACCGCAAGGUUGAAACUCAAAGGAAUUGACGGGGACCCGCACAAGCGGUGGAGCAUGUGGUUUAAUUCGAAGCAACGCGAAGAACCUUACCAAAUCUUGACAUCCUUUGACAACUCUAGAGAUAGAGCCUUCCCCUUCGGGGGACAAAGUGACAGGUGGUGCAUGGUUGUCGUCAGCUCGUGUCGUGAGAUGUUGGGUUAAGUUCCGCAACGAGCGCAACCCUUAAGCUUAGUUGCCAUCAUUAAGUUGGGCACUCUAAGUUGACUGCCGGUGACAAACCGGAGGAAGGUGGGGAUGACGUCAAAUCAUCAUGCCCCUUAUGAUUUGGGCUACACACGUGCUACAAUGGACAAUACAAAGGGCAGCGAAACCGCGAGGUCAAGCAAAUCCCAUAAAGUUGUUCUCAGUUCGGAUUGUAGUCUGCAACUCGACUACAUGAAGCUGGAAUCGCUAGUAAUCGUAGAUCAGCAUGCUACGGUGAAUACGUUCCCGGGUCUUGUACACACCGCCCGUCACACCACGAGAGUUUGUAACACCCGAAGCCGGUGGAGUAACCUUUUAGGAGCUAGCCGUCGAAGGUGGGACAAAUGAUUGGGGUGAAGUCGUAACAAGGUAGCCGUAUCGGAAGGUGCGGCUGGAUCACCU